GUUUUUUUCUAGUUGUCUUUCCAUUGGAAGAUCUGUGUCUUGGACGGUAUUGUCAUUUCAGAGGCAGGACGACUUUGCAGUCAUCGUGUUCAGACUUCUCCUUUGAAAGCUGAGGAAGCAGAUGGAUAUGGAUGAGAUGAGCUCAUGCUCAGUGCCAAGUGCAGCCCAUGAAGCACAGUGAGGACUCCCUGCGCGGGGACAGCGUGCCAGGCAUUGGGCGGGCCGCAGAGCUGAGGAGGGUGACCUGCUCUGAAGGAGCUCCCAGUACCAGACUGCUGUCGCGAGGGGUGGCCAAGGGGGCCUGGGGCGAGAGACCUAGUUCCCAUUUCAGAUGUACCAUAGAGUGAUUCAACCAUUCUGGAUAUUACGCAGCAUCGAACAUGAUGGGAUGACGAGUAUGAUAAUUUUGAUGAACUGAUUGAUUGAAGAAGAAACCCGCGAAGGCAAAAACGCCAGGGCCCACGAAAGUCACAACAGGGCCCUGCCAGCCUUGCAUGGAGCCCACAUGGGGCUCUGGGCCUCCUAGUUUCACUUCUCUUCUCAGUGGUCUUCUCAGCAUGGACGGGAGAGAAAUCGCAGGGUCACACCCUGUUCCUGGAGCACUUCUAUCAGGACAGCUGCUUAUCUCCUCGGAGCACUCUCUUCCUCACUAGCAUCAAGGCGAGAUGAAACGCAACCAUCCUAAUCUGGAAUAAGAGUUCAGCUGGUAUUAGUUCUCUUUUCCAGCUGCCUCCUAGUUGCAGAAGUGGCCAGAAGCCGUAUCUGAAAUACAGACUACGCAGGAAAGUAGCAUGUAAAAGUCAUAACCAAAUGACUUGACCAGAGCCACCCAAAUAAAAAGGUAUUUUAUUUUCAGGCAACACUGAACUCAUGCCCUGAAUUUUUGCCUGUAAUCUUUUGAAAUGUAUGUGGGGUCCUGGUUUAGGAUUGAGUCACUGGGUCUAGAAACAGAGUGCUUGGGUUGGAACUUGGUUCAAUCACUUACAAGCUGUGGAACUUGGGCAGUAAGUAGACUUCUCUGGGCCUCGGUUUUCUCAUCUGUGUAGUGGGAGUAUUCACUGUAAUGGACCUUAUCCAGUUGUUUUGAGGAUUAAAUGAGUUAAACAACGGGAGCUUCUAGAAUAGAGCCCAGCAUAUGGUGUGAAC
This 1146-nucleotide long non-coding RNA is filed under the name Mustela putorius furo (domestic ferret). RNAcentral's name for it is "lncRNA (ENSMPUG00000025798.1)". The record is from RNAcentral. Lineage: Eukaryota; Metazoa; Chordata; Mammalia; Carnivora; Mustelidae.